GAUGAACGCUGGAGGCGUGCUUAACACAUGCCAGUCGAACGGGAAUUAUUUUAUUGAAACUUCGGUCGAUUUAAUUUAAUUCUAUUGGCGAACGGGUGAGUAACGCGUGGGUAACCUGCCUUAUACAGGGGGAUAACAGUCAGAAAUGGCUGCUAAUACCGCAUAAGCGCACCGAGCUGCAUGGCUCAGUGUGAAAAACUCCGGUGGUAUAAGAUGGACCCGCGUUGGAUUAGCUGGUUGGUGGGGUAACGGCCCACCAAGGCGACGAUCCAUAGCCGGCCUGAGAGGGUGAACGGCCACAUUGGGACUGAGACACGGCCCAGACUCCUACGGGAGGCAGCAGUGGGGAAUAUUGCACAAUGGGGGAAACCCUGAUGCAGCGACGCCGCGUGAAGGAAGAAGUAUCUCGGUAUGUAAACUUCUAUCAGCAGGGAAGAUAGUGACGGUACCUGACUAAGAAGCCCCGGCUAACUACGUG
This 478-nucleotide ribosomal RNA is filed under the name uncultured bacterium. Its description in RNAcentral is "partial 16S ribosomal RNA". It matches the Rfam family "Bacterial small subunit ribosomal RNA", at positions 28 to 507 of the family's 1533-position model. The record is from RNAcentral.